Marmota monax (woodchuck) is the source of this 1372-nucleotide long non-coding RNA. RefSeq lists it as uncharacterized. The transcript is spliced from 2 exons. The record is from RefSeq and is a predicted model, not a curated record. Lineage: Eukaryota; Metazoa; Chordata; Mammalia; Rodentia; Sciuridae.
UCCAAAGGCUAAGCUCAUCCACAGUGGAAAACUCAUAGCUAAAGUAGCCACAUGGGACUGAGACUUCAAGGGCUCCAGGCCCUGGUCUGGCACUUCAUACACAACACCUCAGAUGACAAACCACCCUAAAGGGAAAGCCCCGGCAGAGGGCCAGUCACCUGGGGACUCAGCUGGGGACGCCUCCUCCUUGCCGUCUCCCAGGGCCCCUUCUGCGCACCCUGCUCUUCACCCCGCUCCUGGUUUGCCACCCAGAGCCUCGAGAACCCUCUCCCCGGCCCUUGGCAGCCUCCACUCUCAGCCCAGGUUGUGGCGACGAGAGACGCCAGGACUUAUCUCCUGAUAAACUCCAGCGUGACUUACGGCCUGCCCAACCUCCCGUGUGUGACAUCUGCAAUCCUUGGCAUGUUUGUUUUACAGAAUAAUGCCACCAGCAGGUCAUCUACUGUCACUGGGAACAAAGAAGAAAAAGAAGAUGAAAAGCAGCCUCCUGGUGCCCCAGUGCCCCAAACCACAGCGACACCCCUGGUGGUUUGGGGGGAGAUGGCCUGGUGUCAGCCCACAGGUUGGCCUGCAGAUGUCGCAUGACUCAGGCAAGGUGGGCAGUGGCUCUUUCUGAUGUUGAUAGAAACGUCUCUUUUUUUCCUUCGCGAAAGAGCCACACACGUUAGCUGUGGAAUAAUUAUAACAAACAAGAAGCCAAGGUGCGCCUGUCACCAGCCUCCUGGACGCCAUCCCGAGACACCUUGGGAGGGGCACACAGAGCAUGCUUUUUCUGCAGAGCUGGGGACCAAGCCCAGGACCUCGGCCGAUAGGCAAGCUCCGUGCCGCUGAGCUACAUCCGCAGCCCCCUAACCUGCCCCCUCUCUGAACUUCAGCCCCCUCACCUGGGUGACUGACUGCCAGGCCGCAGUCUUCCUCAGUGGCUGGACAAGCCAACCCUGGUUCAGGGCCUUUGUCUUUUUCAUCUGUAAAAUGGGGAGGUCGAAGAGCUCUGCCCACCAGGGAGGGGAUCGCAGCCUCCCUCCUCUGAGGCCUCCCUUCAUCCUCAGUCUGAGGCUGGCAGCUGUGACCAACACUCGGGGGACCCCUGCCAGGCCCUGUUCUAAGCACGUCAUUUAAUCCUCCUGAUGAGGUUGGUGUUAUUUCUGUCCCCUUUUACAGAUGAGGAAACCCAGGCACAGAGGGCUCAAUAACUUGCCGUGACUCUGUCCAUCUGCGAGGGGCAGAACCAGGACUCUAACCCCACUCCAGCCAUGGCAGGCCCGUGUUCCUCCUGUCACCAGGUGCCCGUGUCCACAGCGAGUGCAUUUGCAUGGUGACCCAGGGAAAUGCACACCGAUAUUUAAAUGGAAUAAAAAUUAGAAGAAGUAAA